This is a non-coding RNA of Cyanistes caeruleus (blue tit), 425 nucleotides long. The record is from RefSeq and is a predicted model, not a curated record. NCBI's taxonomy places the organism in Eukaryota, Metazoa, Chordata, Aves, Passeriformes, Paridae.
AACUGGAAGCCCAUCUCUUUGGUGUUCCACGCUGGUCCCCAGAACCCUGCAGCUUCCCUGGACAAGAUCCUGAGGUUGUGGACUGCAACAGCAACUGGCAUGAAAGAAAGGGAUGAGGAAGAUGCUGACUUCCAAACUCUGCAAAUGCUCACAGGAAUUGCAGACCAGUGACAGACAACAUAAAACUGCAGAAGACUGGAAGGAUAUUGGCUGACAGGAUCAGAAUUCAAAAUGGCUUGGACUCAUAAGAAAAAAUUCAGAAGACAUUAGAAGGAAUUCUGAGCAAGUGAUGGAAACCUGAAUAUUUAGGCUACAUUUCCACAGUCAUGUAAGAUUUGUGCAUUGCUCAAUCACCCCCCUUUACCACCUCACUUAGUAGCAGAUAACAUUUAUCAUAAUAAUUUGCAACCUAUUACUACAUGAGC